GGGAGGGGAAUAUAUGAUAUUUGAAAAAAUGGAUAGUUUUGAAUACAUUCUAUGAACUAGUCAUAUAUGUUUGAUAGAAAGAAAAUUUUGGCUCUAAUGCCCACUUAAGUUCAAAAAUUGUGGAGAGUCUACAAUAUACAAUAAUUUGUUGCAGUGGAAUUAGUGCCUUUGCUUCCUCUAGUACAUUCAAUUAAAUUGCCCAAAGGUAGAAAACUACCAAGUAUGAGCUCAGGAUGUUCAAACUAGUCUCAUGACUGAAAAGAAUAUAGAAGUCUAUGUAUUGUAUCAUCCUCGUAGUCAGUUGUUUGUUAUAGUUGUCAGCCUUUAAGAAUUCAGAUUGGACUCUAGUCACUUUAGUAGAGCAUUGAAUGUACAGUAUAUUAUUUUAUUUAUGUGUCAUGGAUUAUUAUUUUGUACCACAGGUAGUUUUAGGACAGAAUGAAAGAUCUAUAAUACAUUGAUAAAUACUAAUGUGUUUUGCAGUUAACAAAAUAUUUUAAGAGACAUUUUGUUGUUUCUGAGUCAUAGUGCCUUUGGUAUGUCAUUGUUGUCAGGUACCAUGUACUGUUCACUGUAAUGUUUGUUUUGUGAAUUUUGUUUGCACAUAGAUAAUAAUGAUGGUAAUGAUGAUGAUACUACUACUACUACUACUACUAAUAAUAAUGAUUAUCAUUGUUUUUAUUAUUAUUAUUAUUAUUAUUAUUAUUAUUAUUAUUAUUAUUGAUAUUGAUAUUAUUUUGAUUAUUCUAAUGUUAUUAACAAUACUAAUAUUGAUAAAGAUAAAAUAAAAAACUGAAAAUCAAGUACAAGGGUAAACAGCAAGAUGAGGUAGGACUAGCAAUGGAGUCUUGGAUCCCUGGGUGACUAAUCAUUUUAUGGAACCAUCUGUGUGUACACAGAAUUAAUAAACUCAAAUCACAAUGUACAUGGGUGCAUGCACUUGCCAUGCUAGCAUCAGUAAGUUGAUUUCCAAAGGCUAUGCUUAACAUGUAAUAAUCUAGUCAGACUUACAGGACCUAGAACUCGCUCAAAUUAAUUUCAAAUGAUUAAAUUGUGAUAUUAUUAUAGGGUGAUUAUGUUCAUCAUGUGUGUUUCAACAUCACUCCUUCCUUCUUUCCCUGUACACUUGCAACUUGAAAUUAUUACCUUUUUUGGGGACUACUGUGUUGACAGGAAUAAUUCAGUCUAGUUGAUAAUAAACCUUUUACUAUAGUGAAUAAGUACUAUCCUACCUUAUAACCCUCCAACUGCAAGUUUAACUGUAAAAAUGGACAGGAAGUUGUCUGAUCUCAAAACUUCCAGGAUUUUGAAUAGUGAGGAAACAAAAACCGAUAUAAGAAGAUGGCAGAAAAGCCUGAAUCAGUGUGCCUAGUCUUCCAGACUGCCUCCCAUGUGUGUAAGUGUAUAUGUUGCUGAGUUAGGUAUAUUUUUGUAAUCUCUUGUUUAGGUGGUUUAUUAGUUUUGCAAUAGUGGAAUUCAUGGGGCAAAGAACCUUCACCACAUUCUACUUCAUGGCCAACAUGAUGACUUUAGAAGCUCACUAGUUACUUCAGAAAAUGUUUGGUGACAGAGCUAGCUUUAGGAAGCUAUUAGUGACAGUGCCAUCGCCUACAUCAGAACAGUUUCUACAAUUAUUUGAAGUAAGGCUAAUAGUCCAUUGAAGGUGAUGACUAUUCCAUAUGAAUGGGGAUGAAUACUAAUACAUCAUCAGAAAAUAUUAGAGAUGUGUGACAGGCUAUUCCUGCAGAUCAUAGGCAAGCCAUCCAUGAAGUUUGUGAUAUCAUUAGACUGACAUUAGUGAGCAUUCAGUGUGAUGAGAAAUAUAGCUGUAAGAAUUAUGCCAAGAAUAUUGAGUGACAAUCAGAAGGCACAUCAUGGUCAAGUUUGCAGAGCUCAAAAAUCAAGUAAAAAAUUACACCUACUUAUAUAGUUCUAAGAAGAAAGCAUGGCAUACAGAAACCAAGAAUCUUCUUGUAUUCUGAAGGUUUUGAUGUGUAAUUAACAUGAAAUAAACCAGAGUAUUA
Penaeus chinensis is the source of this 2024-nucleotide long non-coding RNA. RefSeq lists it as uncharacterized. The transcript has 2 exons. NCBI's taxonomy places the organism in Eukaryota, Metazoa, Arthropoda, Malacostraca, Decapoda, Penaeidae. The record is from RefSeq and is a predicted model, not a curated record.